UGCUGAGUCUGUGUCAAUUCCCUGAUGUCCGUUGAACUGUUCCCUGUUUUGCGUCUUGAUUUUGCCCAGGAGUGCAAAAGACUUAUUUUGAUGUAUCGAUAUUUUAUUGAUUUCACUUAGUUUAUUGUGCUAAAAUUAAUCGGGGAAUUGUGCUUAAUUGUCCGGUAUUUUAAAGCAAGCAACAGUCGUCACUUACAUUGCAUUCUGCUGGGAGAAUUCUCUGCUGGAACGUUGUUUGGAGAAAUGGAGAUGGUGCUUUAAAAGUUGGGCCGACACACAUUUGCUAGGAGGAGAACGCUUUCAUUGAUGGGAAAUGAGAAGACGGUGCAAAGACGGACCAUCCAGCCGCCACUUUUUUUUCGCUCUUGAAUUUCUUUGAUGGAUAAAGAACGGAUGAAUGGCCAUAGGAUUUUCCAAGGUGCUGCAACCGUCAUUUAACUUCACUUGGUUUUGGAACAUAUUUUUUUUACAGAGUUUUAUAUCUUCUUUGAACCAUGGAUUUCGGAUGAAUGAAAAUGCA
This 520-nucleotide long non-coding RNA is filed under the name Vigna radiata. RNAcentral describes it as "long non-coding RNA (VRAD_LNC012288)". Lineage: Eukaryota; Viridiplantae; Streptophyta; Magnoliopsida; Fabales; Fabaceae. The record is from RNAcentral.